RNAcentral lists this ribosomal RNA (415 nucleotides) under uncultured bacterium. RNAcentral describes it as "bacterial SSU rRNA". It matches the Rfam family "Bacterial small subunit ribosomal RNA", at positions 917 to 1333 of the family's 1533-position model. The record is from RNAcentral.
GGACCCGCACAAGCGGUGGAGCAUGUGGUUUAAUUCGAUGCAACGCGAAGAACCUUACCUGGUCUUGACAUCCUGCGAACUUUCUAGAGAUAGAUUGGUGCCUUCGGGAACGCAGUGACAGGUGCUGCACGGCUGUCGUCAGCUCGUGUUGUGAAAUGUUGGGUUAAGUCCCGCAACGAGCGCAACCCCUAUUGAUAGUUACCAUCAUUAAGUUGGGUACUCUAUUGAGACUGCCGCUGACAAGGCGGAGGAAGGUGGGGACGACGUCAAGUCAUCAUGGCCCUUACGACCAGGGCUACACACGUGCUACAAUGGGUAUUACAGAGGGCUGCGAAGGUGCGAGCUGGAGCGAAACUCAGAAAGGUACUCUUAGUCCGGAUUGCAGUCUGCAACUCGACUGCAUGAAGUCGGAAUC